GGAGACUUGACAAGCAUCCUUUUCUUCCACGUUAUCAGAGUGCCUGUGCCCCCCUCAAAAGCUCUGAGUGUGCUAGCCAGCAAUACAUCAACGGACUACUGAGGAGACCCCCAUAACAGUUAAUCAGGGAGACAGACCAGCAGACAGUGAUUGCUUUUACUAUUGCUGUAUCUGUGUGACAGGGAGACAGACAGACUGACUGAUAGGGAGACAGACAGACAGACUGACUGAUAGGGAGACAGACAGACAGACUGACUGACUGAUAGGGAGACAGACAGACAGACUGACUGAUAGGGAGACAGACAGACUGACUGACUGAUAGGGAGACAGACAGACUGACUGACUGAUAGGGAGACAGACAGACUGACUGAUAGGGAGACAGACAGACUGACUGAUAGGGAGACAGACAGACAGACUGACUGAUGAGGGACAGACAGAUAGGGAGACAGACAGACUGACUGAUAGGGAGACAGACAGACAGACUGACUGAUAGGGAGACAGACAGACAGACUGACUGAUAGGGAGACAGACAGACUGACUGAUAGGGAGACAGACAGACAGACUGACUGAUAGGGAGACAGACAGAC
This is a non-coding RNA of Pelobates cultripes (western spadefoot toad), 587 nucleotides long. The record is from the annotation of a GenBank genome assembly. Lineage: Eukaryota; Metazoa; Chordata; Amphibia; Anura; Pelobatidae.